AGGUUUGCUGGAGGUAUCAGAAGUGCGAAUGCUGACAUGAGUAACGAUAAGGGGGGUGAAAAACCUCCCCGCCGGAAGAUCAAGGUUUCCUGCGCAACGCUAAUCGGCGCAGGGUAAGUCGGCCCCUAAGGCGAGGGCGAAAGCCGUAGUCGAUGGGAAGCAGGUUAACAUUCCUGCACUUCUUUUUAUUGCGAUGGAGGGACGGAGAAGGCUAGGCCAGCAGGGCGAUGGUUGUCCCUGUUUAAGGUGGUAGGCUGAAUUCUUAGGUAAAUCCGGGAGUUCAUUAAGGCCGAGAGCUGAUGACGAGUGCCCUAGGGCGCGAAGUGGUUGAUGCCAUGCUUCCAAGAAAAGCUUCUAAGCUUCAGAUAAAAAGGAACCGUACUGUAAACCGACACAGGUGAUCAGGUAGAGAAUACCAAGGCGCUUGAGAGAACUCGGGUGAAGGAACUAGGCAAAAUGGUACCGUAACUUCGGGAGAAGGUACGCUCUCUUUGGUGAUCGGACUUGCUCCGUAAGCUGAGGAGAGUCGAAGUGACCAGGUGGCUGCGACUGUUUAUUAAAAACAUAGCACUCUGCAAACUCGUAAGAGGAAGUAUAGGGUGUGACGCCUGCCCGGUGCCGGAAGGUUAAUUGAUGGGGUUAGCUUAGGCGAAGCUCUUGAUCGAAGCCCCGGUAAACGGCGGCCGUAACUAUAACGGUCCUAAGGUAGCGAAAUUCCUUGUCGGGUAAGUUCCGACCUGCACGAAUGGCGUAACGAUGGCCACACUGUCUCCACCCGAGACUCAGUGAAAUUGAAAUCGCUGUUAAGAUGCAGUGUACCCGCGGCUAGACGGAAAGACCCCGUGAACCUUUACUAUAGCUUCACACUGGACUUUGACCUUACUUGUGUAGGAUAGGUGGGAGACUUUGAAGCGUGAUCGCUAGAUUGCGUGGAGUCAUCCUUGAAAUACCACCCUGGUAAUGUUGAGGUUCUAACUUGGCUCCUGAAACGGGAGUGAGGACAGUGUGUGGUGGGUAGUUUGACUGGGGCGGUCUCCUCCUAAAGAGUAACGGAGGAGCACGAAGGUUGGCUAAGUACGGUCGGACAUCGUACGGUUAGUGUAAUGGUAGAAGCCAGCUUAACUGCGAGACAGACACGUCGAGCAGGUACGAAAGUAGGUCAUAGUGAUCCGGUGGUUCUGAAUGGAAGGGCCAUCGCUCAA
RNAcentral lists this ribosomal RNA (1202 nucleotides) under marine metagenome. RNAcentral's name for it is "bacterial LSU rRNA". It matches the Rfam family "Bacterial large subunit ribosomal RNA", at positions 1266 to 2452 of the family's 2925-position model. The record is from RNAcentral.